Molecule: unclassified non-coding RNA, 263 nt
Filed under: plant metagenome
Description: partial contains small subunit ribosomal RNA, internal transcribed spacer 1, and 5.8S ribosomal RNA
Source: RNAcentral
UUUCCGUAGGUGAACCUGCGGAAGGAUCAUUAUUGUAUAACCGAGGUGCAAGGGCUGUCGCUGACCCGAAAGGUCGUGCACGCCCGAGUGCCCUCACACACAUCCCUCUCACCCCUAUGUGCACCACCGCGUGGGUCCCCCUUUGGCUUGUUCGGAGGGGGGCUUACGUUUUCACACAAACUUUGUAUGCAGUGUAGAAUGUAUUUUUUGUUUUUGCGAUCACGCAAUCAAUACAACUUUCAACAACGGAUCUCUUGGCUCUC